UUCCGUGAUCUGCCGGAGGGCACUGCUAUAGGAUUCGAUUAAGACAUGCGAGUCUUUGAGUAAUCAAGGCGGACUGCUGAGUAACACGUAGUUAACCUACCCUUAUGUCAAGAAUAACUUGGGAAACUGAGAAUAAUGCUUGAUAAAAGAUUAUGCCUGGAAGGGUUUAUCUUUCAAAGCUUCGGCGCAUAAGGAUGGGACUGCGGUGGAUUAGGCUGAUGUUGAGGUAAAUGCUUAACAUACCUAUAAUCCAUAGGGGCUGUGAGAGCAGUAGCCUCCAGAUGGGUUCUGAGACAUUAACCCAGGCCCUACGGGGCGCAGCAGUUACGAAACCUUCACAAUGCACGAAAGUGUGAUGAGGGAAUCCUAAGUGCUAGCACUUUGUGUUAGCUUUUCUCAAGUCUAAACAGCUUGAGGAAUAAGUGGUGGGUAAGACCGUUGCCAGCCGCCGCGGUAAUAACGGCGCCACAAGUGGUGUCCAUGUAUAUUGGGUCUAAAGCAUCCGUAGCCGGUUUAUUAAGUCUUCUGUGAAAUCUUUUUGAAAACAAAGAGGCGUGCAGGGGAUACUACUAAACUUGGGACUAGGAAGGGUUAGAGGUACUCUUAGGGUAGGGGUAAAAUCCUAUAAUCCUAAGGGGACCAUCUGUGGCGAAGGCGUCUAACUAGAACGGGUCCGACGGUGAGGGAUGAAAGCUAGGGGAGCAAAGCGGAUUAGAUACCCGCGUAGUCCUAGCUGUAAACGAUGCCCGUUAGGUAUUGGAUUUCUCUUGUAGAAAUUCAGUGCCGUAGGGAAGCCAUUAAACGGGCCACCUGGGAAGUACGUCCGCAAGGAUGAAACUUAAAGGAAUUGGCGGGGGAGCACUACAGGGGGUGCGGUCUGCGGUUCAAUUGGACUCAACGCCGGA
Molecule: ribosomal RNA, 905 nt
Filed under: uncultured archaeon
Lineage: Archaea
Description: bacterial SSU rRNA
Rfam family: Archaeal small subunit ribosomal RNA
Source: RNAcentral